RNAcentral lists this small RNA (596 nucleotides) under Vigna angularis var. angularis. RNAcentral's name for it is "Non-protein coding transcript". Lineage: Eukaryota; Viridiplantae; Streptophyta; Magnoliopsida; Fabales; Fabaceae. The record is from RNAcentral.
GAACAACAAGCAAAGCUCCGAGAUGAUUAUAUUUCAUCUCAACGUGCAUGGUGAAUACUUCUUGCGAAAGAGUGCAAGAGUAGGGGUGAAAGAAUUCUGCAGAUGGCUUGUAAAGUGGAGGAAACAACAUGCAAUUGUCAAUAAAAUGGCCAUUGUUUACUUGUAUGAUACUUAAGAUUGAGAAGGUAUUAAGUAUGGACAGUAGUGUAUAGAACUCGUUCGCGUAGCUCCUUCAAGUUGUUGCGGUAGAUUUUAUUCUCAAUCUAAUUUGGGAUUUUAGUUUAAGUUAGCUACUCAAUUUUAUUUUAUUCCAGUAAAUUAUAUGCAUGAAAACCAGGCCUUUACACGAUCUCAUUCCGUUAUUACUUCUUCUGAUGAGUGGUUUUGUUGUUAGUAAUAUUUUUAUAAAAUGUUAUGAACCUUUAAGAAAUAAUAAUCUAUCACGACUUUUCACCUAACUGUUUAAACUCUUAGGCGAGUUGGUUCUUGAUAUGAUACCAUAACUUUCUAUCCAGCGGUUAGGAGUCUCAUUCUUGUCACUCUCGUUAAAGGGUAUUCCUGGGCAACAUUCAUUAGCCUUCGUCAACUAACUUUUU